CUGGAAUUGUAAAACUACUAGAAUAAAAUAUAAGGAAAAAGCUUCUUGACACUGUUUGGUCAAUGACUUUUUUGGAUACAAUCCCCAAAGUGCAGGAAACAAAAAUAGAAUUAAACUAGUGAGAUUUCAUCAAAAAUCAUGUCGUACACUUUAAAUAUAUAUAAUUUUUAUUUGUCAAUUAUACCUCAAUAAAACUACACACAGACACACACACACACACACACACACACACACACACUUGGUAUAGUUGGGGUUUACCUUCCAGCACAUGAAGAAGCCACAGAAGGGCUUUAACCAGUUCAGGGAUAGGAUCCAAGUUGUGUUGUAGAGUGACACUCUGGUGGCUGGGAAGAGUGAGUUGUCGUAUAGUGAGACUCUG
This is a long non-coding RNA of Sapajus apella (tufted capuchin), 379 nucleotides long. RefSeq lists it as uncharacterized. Lineage: Eukaryota; Metazoa; Chordata; Mammalia; Primates; Cebidae. The record is from RefSeq and is a predicted model, not a curated record. The transcript has 3 exons.